Non-coding RNA from Triticum aestivum (bread wheat), 126 nucleotides. Lineage: Eukaryota; Viridiplantae; Streptophyta; Magnoliopsida; Poales; Poaceae. The record is from Rfam.
UAUAUACUCCCUCCGUCCGAAAAAGCUUGUCCCUCAAAUGGAUGUAUAUAGCACCAAGUUAGUGCUAGAUAUAUCCAUUUGAGAAACAAGCUUGCGACAAGUUUUUUCGGACGGAGGGAGUACUGA